Brassica napus (rape) is the source of this 3589-nucleotide long non-coding RNA. RefSeq lists it as uncharacterized. The record is from RefSeq and is a predicted model, not a curated record. NCBI's taxonomy places the organism in Eukaryota, Viridiplantae, Streptophyta, Magnoliopsida, Brassicales, Brassicaceae. The transcript is spliced from 4 exons.
AUUUUUUUUUUAAAUUUAUAAAUUAUUUUAAGAUCAGCUAUACCAGAAGACUUACUUGGAAGUCGUUUAGAAGACUUCUAGCAUCUUAGUCGACUCAGACGACCUACUGGGGCUAUUUGUAAAAAUAGCUUCUGUUUUUUUGUUUGGUCACAAGGGGAUGGCUGUAAUUUCACAAGGAUUUUAGGUUAGUUUUGCAAUUGAUUCAAAUUUGGGUAUAAGUUUGUAUUUAAAAUCAAGUUGUGAGUCAUAUAUGGCAAAUUCCCCUACUUAAAAAACUUUAAAAUUUCAAACUAAAAAGAGUAUUAAUAAUAAACUGAUUAUAAUAUUCAAAUAAGAAUAUCUAGUUUUGCGUUUUUUGUGGAUAACACGUUUUUUUUUUGUUUUUGACGGAUAUUGCGAUUUUCUGGUUUUGGUAGGGAAAACGCGAUUUUCGGUUACGGGGGAAAAACAAGAUUUCUGGUUUCGGCUGAAAAACAAGAUUUUCCGGUUUUGGCUGGAAAAUGAGAUUUUUUUGGUUUUUGCUCGAAAAUGCGUUUUUGUGGGUUUGGCAAGAAAAUAUGUGUUUUGGCGGAAAAAUGCGUUUUUAUGGUUUUGUAGGGAAAAAAUGUUUUUUUUUUUUUGUUUUUGGCGGAAAAUGCGUUUUUGCGUUUAUGGAUAAAAAAUGCGUUUUUGCGAUUUUGACGAGAAAAUGUGUUUUUGGUGAAAAAUGCAUUUUGGUGGGAAAAUAAGUUUUUGGCGGGAAAAUAUGUUUUUAGCGAAAAAAUGUGUUUUUACGUUUUGGCGGUAAAAUGCGUUUUUGUGGGUUUGACGGACAAACGUGUUUUUGGCCAGAAAUGCGUUUUGCGGUUUUGAUUUUGGCGGGAAAUUGUGUUUUGUAGUCUUGACUGGAAAGUGCAUUUUUUCGAUUUUGGUGGAAACACAUUUUUAUGGUUUUGUCAUUUUUCUUGAGUGACAAAAUGAUAUUAGAUUUAGGUGUAAUUUGUGAAUUAUAUGAGGGGUAUAAUUGACAUUAUACAUUUCUGACAUAACCAUCUCCAUCCAGAUGGUUCCAUUUGGAUCGGUCACUUGAUUUUUAAAUCUAAAUUUUGAAAACUCAUUCCGAUAAUCCAUCUAGAUGACUUGUACUUUUAAUGUUUAAAUAAACAAAAAUUUCAUCUCCAUCGAGAUCCAGAUCCAGAUGACUCCAGAUAUGAAACAAAUAGCCCUUACAAUAUUUUGUAUGCAUGGGUCCAAAUAUCGGUGGAAAAUGAAGGGCCUGAGCAUCAUGCCUUUUUCUAUAGUGGUGAGCAUGGUUUUGUGUGUACGCCAUUGCUGGCAAUUAUUAGGAUGGAGAUUUCAUUUUGUGAGAAUGAAUAAAUAGGCUUUGAGGUUAUUACAUCGAACGCUUAAUAACACCUUAGUCGUUUUUAUUAAUUAGGGGCUUAUGUUUUCUGUAGGUUUCAGGCAUGGGUUGGUUUACGACGGUUGGGCUUUGAGUUGACUAAUCUAAUGGACUGGAGAUAGAUGGCAUACAGAAUUUUCAAGUUGUGAAAGUUUAGUUAAUUUUGUAAGACCCACUGAGAGUAAAAAAUGCUGAGGUAGACACUCGAGAGAUAUGUCCUAUUAAAUAUAUAUACUCUCUCUUCCAUUUCAGUACAAUUUUCGUUUAAUAAAAAAUGUCGUUUUGCAGAAAACAAUACAUCUCUUUAUAUAUAAAGUAGUGUUUGCUUCUCUCACAUGAUGCCACCUAAGAUUCCAGCUAGGAAAGUCUGUUCUUAUAAGCUUGACACGUGUCUCAUCUUCUUAUAAGCGGAUCGUUUCAUUAAGUCAGGUAUAUUGGACUUCUCUUGGUUAUCUGCUAGACUUAUACGAUUGUAUUAUGUGUGGGCUCUGUUUAAUGUUUUAUGGGCUUAGUAAGAAACAAAAGCGUGGCCAGUUUUCGCCGUCACCUUCUUCCAGAGUUUAGGGUUCAUCGACUCCUCCGAAAUCUGAUUACGGUAAUGGAGGUACUGAGAGGUCGUGUGAGAGGAGAUUUCGUGAGUAAUCUAUGUGUCGAUGUCUGAUCGUGUUGUUUCGGUAUCGAUUCUUCACCACAGAACCGUCACAAGUUGCUUUGAUUCAACGUCAUUAAUUAUUUCCUACCCACUACAGCCAGGAUCUCUCAUUCAAUGAAUCCUAAUCUUCUUUGAUACGGUGAUUCUCCACCUAUAUAAAGGUCAGUUUUUGGGAAGCAAGAAACGUGGUGAGGAGUACAUUCUCCGCCUAGACGCUAAUGUUGUCCAUUCUUUAAACUCAUGAGUCAUGCUCGUCGUAGUUGUAAAACAUAAUCCUGCACAUGAUCUCAAAAUUUCCAGCUUUUUCAAUCCAAACAUUUACUUCACUCUUUGCGAGAUAGUUUCAAUACUUUUUGUUGAUGCGGUUUUAUUCUUUACAUGUGUUUCAGGCGAUUAUACGACGGCAAGCUGGGAAGCUGUGUGUUCUUUUGUAGAUGCUGUCAAUGGUAGGGAUUCAGAGAGACUGUCAUGAAAUAUAGUUCUAUUGAAAACAUGAGAAAUAUCAAAUUAAGGAGUUCAGACAACCGUGUAGACACAAUGGAAGAACAAAGUGAUGUAGGUUGCUCUUGGUCGUUCCUCUUCUGAUGAAAUCCAUCAUGCCAACUUCAAAUCUUCCAAGGUUGUGUUACUCUGCUUCUUACAAUUUUUUUUUGGUCUAAAGCUUCUUACAAUAUUUAUUUUAUAUUACUUGGUAUUUUACAUAUUUUUUUGGAAUAUUAUUUCAUCUGCGUCAUGGUGAUGGACUGCUUAUUAUUGAUAUGCCAAAGGAAGAUGUUGAAAGAUGGAACAACAAAUAAGAUAAUAAGAAGAAGAGAGUAAAGGGAUGAUGAGGAAACACAAGUCUUUUGCAGAGCUAUAAUGAGAUUUGUCAGAUGGAGAGACCAAAAAGAAUAAAAAUCAUGUACAUGGCUAACUAUCAGACUUGAGAAAUCUGUGUUAUUUACUUCUUCUAUACAAAAAUCCAUCAUUUCCUGUGGCAUGUUACAAUAUAAACCCAGUAUGAGUUUCACCACGAGUGUUGUGAAGUGCUUGAAGAGGAGAACAAAAGAUUAGCGUGAAGUAGGAAUCUAUCAUGCAUCUGACCCAACUCUCCUCCUUAAUUUACCCUAGGUCUCUGUACUUCUCCAACCUACAUAACCCACCCACGAUCUCACCUCUGGUAAUCACACCUUUCAUUCUAUUCGUUUCCAUUAUAUCGUGUUAGCCAUUAAUAAAUUUCAAAUUUUGAACACUGCAAAUCAUAAAUACUUACCAUAAAAAAAUCAGAAAGCCAUUGGUCGUACCUUUUUUUGUCAUCUAUGAAUUGCAUUUAACGAAAGUUGAGGUACAACAAGGAUGAUGCUAGACAUGUAUGCACUUUACGAAAAUCAGAUUAACCAACAUCAUAAGCUGAUUUGUCCAACUAUGACAAGGGUCCAAAUCUUAAGAAACUAUAAAGGAUCUUGAUCACUCCAACUAUGAAGGCAAGCAAAAUAUAUUUUAUCACAUAUAAUCUAUGUUCACUUAGAAUUUUCUAAAAGAUAAAAAUCAUUAUCAUACAUAUCUUUUGCAAGAAA